UGGCCCGAAAAGUACCAUUUUCUCUUUCCUCUCUAUCUCUUUCCUUUCCUCUCCUCUUUUCUCCUCUCCUCUCUAUCUCUAUUCUCGAAACGAAAUGCAUUCAAACACUCUCACCUCUGUUCCCGCUCAUCCCCCAGAUCCGUCUCAUCCCAGAUCUCUCUCAUCCCUCUCAUUUCUGUUAAACCUCCCUUUGAUCGUUCUCUGAGUGCGAAGGAGGACGAAUGACGGCGAACGACGGAUGACGAAAUACAGAAAAAAAACUCUUUACCUACCGGUGCCGGAAAGUCCUCAUUACCUACGAGAAGAAAAAGGAAUUCAAGAUGACGACGACGACGACACUAGUUCCAUAAUCCGUUCCAAUAUUGGACCUCGGAAAGCUAUAAGAACAGAAGAAUUAAACGAUCUAAGGACAAGGCUUUGUGAGAUGGACAAUGAAAUUCAUGAGCAUGAUAGAAGACUUCAAAGGAUGGAGAAGAACUUCAAGGCAAUGAUUUAUGUCAUUGUUUUUUUUUUGUCAUUUUGCACUUUAUCAUGUACAUGACUAACUUUCUAUCGUUCUAGCGAAUUUCAUGAAUGUAAUAAAAAACUUGUUUGUAUUUUGUAUC
Non-coding RNA from Camellia sinensis, 605 nucleotides. Lineage: Eukaryota; Viridiplantae; Streptophyta; Magnoliopsida; Ericales; Theaceae. The record is from RefSeq and is a predicted model, not a curated record.